Molecule: ribosomal RNA, 614 nt
Filed under: uncultured cyanobacterium
Lineage: Bacteria; Bacillati; Cyanobacteriota
Description: bacterial SSU rRNA
Rfam family: Bacterial small subunit ribosomal RNA
Source: RNAcentral
GAAUCUGCCUUCAGGUUCGGGACAACCACUGGAAACGGUGGCUAAUACCGAAUGUGCCGCAACGUGAAAGAUUUAUCGCCUGAAGAUGAGCUCGCGUCCGAUUAGCUAGUUGGUGAGGUAAAAGCUCACCAAGGCGACGAUCGGUAGCUGGUCUGAGAGGAUGACCAGCCACACUGGGACUGAGACACGGCCCAGACUCCUACGGGAGGCAGCAGUGGGGAAUUUUCCGCAAUGGGCGAAAGCCUGACGGAGCAAUACCGCGUGAGGGAGGAAGGCUCUUGGGUUGUAAACCUCUUUUCUCAGGGAAGAAUGAUGACGGUACCUGAGGAAUAAGCAUCGGCUAACUCCGUGCCAGCAGCCGCGGUAAUACGGAGGAUGCAAGCGUUAUCCGGAAUGAUUGGGCGUAAAGCGUCCGCAGGUGGCAAUGUAAGUCUGCUGUCAAAGCGUCUGGCUCAACCAGAUAAAGGCAGUGGAAACUACAUAGCUAGAGUAAGGUAGGGGUAGAGGGAAUUCCUGGUGUAGCGGUGAAAUGCGUAGAGAUCAGGAAGAACACCGGUGGCGAAAGCGCUCUGCUGGACCUUAACUGACACUGAGGGACGAAAGCUAGGGGAGCG